CCUACGGGAGGCAGCAGCGAGGAAUAUUGGUCAAUGGACGAGAGUCUGAACCAGCCAAGUAGCGUGAAGGAUGACUGCCCUAUGGGUUGUAAACUUCUUUUAUAUGGGAAUAAAACGUUCCACGUGUGGGAUUUUGUAUGUACCAUAUGAAUAAGGAUCGGCUAACUCCGUGCCAGCAGCCGCGGUAAUACUGAGGAUCCGAGCGUUAUCCGGAUUUAUUGGGUUUAAAGGGAGCGUAGGUGGAUUGUUAAGUCAGUUGUGAAAGUUUGCGGCUCAACCGUAAAAUUGCAGUUGAAACUGGCAGUCUUGAGUACAGUAGAGGUGGGCGGAAUUCGUGGUGUAGCGGUGAAAUGCUUAGAUAUCACGAAGAACUCCGAUUGCGAAGGCAGUUCACUGGACUGCAACUGACACUGAGGCUCGAAAGUGUGGGUAUCAAACAGGAUUAGAUACCCGGGUAGUC
RNAcentral lists this ribosomal RNA (460 nucleotides) under uncultured bacterium. RNAcentral describes it as "partial 16S ribosomal RNA". It matches the Rfam family "Bacterial small subunit ribosomal RNA", at positions 338 to 795 of the family's 1533-position model. The record is from RNAcentral.